UGAGUUUCAAGUUUGUUAGUUAAAAUUUCAAUUCCAUGAGAAAUAUAGCUUAGACUUGCAUUUUUACUAGGUUGAAGUGAGUCUUUUUCUGAAUAUUCAUUGUGUAAAUUGUGUAGUUAUUAUGUGAGAAGUGCUGGAACCAUUGGAGCCUUCUUCGAGCAAGGCGAAAUGCAAGGAUAAGUUUGUUUAAGCUUUCAGCUUUUCGACAAAAGCGUAAUCGGUGAGUGUUUAGAAUCGCUGCUAGUAGACAAGAUUCAUAGUGCUAAUUUAGACCUUAGAAAU
RNAcentral lists this long non-coding RNA (282 nucleotides) under Gossypium barbadense (sea-island cotton). RNAcentral's name for it is "long non-coding RNA (GBAR_LNC018455)". The record is from RNAcentral. Lineage: Eukaryota; Viridiplantae; Streptophyta; Magnoliopsida; Malvales; Malvaceae.